GACGAACGCUGGCGUCGUGCUUAACACAUGCAAGUCGAACGGAGUGGCGAACGGGUGAGUAACACGUGGGUGACCUGCCCUGCACCUCGGGAUAAGCCUGGGAAACUGGGUCUAAUACCGGAUAGUGUGGGUGGGGCCCGCGGCCUAUCAGCUUGUUGGUGAGGUAAUGUCCUACGAAUGCGGCGACGGGUAGCAGGCCUGAGGGGGUGGACGGCCACAAUGGGACUGAGACACGGUCCAGAAUCCUACGGGAGGCAGCAGUGGGGAAUAUUGCACAAUGGGCGGAAGCCUGAUGCAGCAACGCCGCGUGGGGGAUUACGGACUUCUGGUUGUAAACUCCUUUCACCAUCGACGCGGUAGAUGGAGAGGAAGCACCGGCUAACUACGUGCCAGCAGCCGCGGUAAUAC
RNAcentral lists this ribosomal RNA (408 nucleotides) under uncultured bacterium. RNAcentral's name for it is "partial 16S ribosomal RNA". It matches the Rfam family "Bacterial small subunit ribosomal RNA", at positions 28 to 526 of the family's 1533-position model. The record is from RNAcentral.